AAGUCGUAACAAGGUUUCCGUAGGUGAACCUGCGGAAGGAUCAUUACCGAGUGAGGGUGCUCCGUCGCCCGACCUCCCAACCCUGUGUCUACUGUACCUUGUCGUUGCUUCGGCGGACCGGUUGCUGACCAACUGGUUUCGACCGCCGGGGGCCCUGUCGCCCCUGGAGCGCGUCCGCCGAUGGCCCAACUCCCAAAAUCUUGAACCCGAAACCAGUGUCGUCUGAAAACACGUUUGUGAUAAGUACAAUCAAAAACAAAACUUUCAACAACGGAUCUCUUGGUUCUG
This 288-nucleotide unclassified non-coding RNA is filed under the name Knufia mediterranea. RNAcentral's name for it is "partial internal transcribed spacer region". The stretch from base 1 to 46 matches the Rfam family "Eukaryotic small subunit ribosomal RNA", at positions 1786 to 1831 of the family's 1831-position model. Lineage: Eukaryota; Fungi; Ascomycota; Eurotiomycetes; Chaetothyriales; Trichomeriaceae. The record is from RNAcentral.